This 92-nucleotide non-coding RNA is filed under the name Actinomyces graevenitzii. RNAcentral describes it as "SAM-I sequence". It matches the Rfam family "SAM riboswitch aptamer (S box leader)". Rfam says of the family: The SAM riboswitch is found upstream of a number of genes which code for proteins involved in methionine or cysteine biosynthesis in Gram-positive bacteria. The SAM riboswitch acts at the level of transcription termination control. Lineage: Bacteria; Bacillati; Actinomycetota; Actinomycetes; Actinomycetales; Actinomycetaceae. RNAcentral also lists the same sequence under 1 other name. The record is from RNAcentral.
AGACCAUCAAGAGCAGCCGAGAGACCUGGAUCGUUGAAGCUGCAGCAACCCCCCAUUUCGGGUGCGGGUGCUACUGCCAGGAACGAUGGAGG